ACAACAACAGAAAGCACCACAACCGACACUACAACACCAGAAAGCACCACUACAGGUACCACAACACCAGAAAGCACAACAACCGAGACCACAACAGACACUACAACACCAGAAAGCACCACUACAGGUACCACAACACCGGAAAGCACCACCACAAGUACAACAACACCAGAAAGCACAACGACCGAGACCACAACAACAGAAAGCACUACAACAGAAAGUAUCACCCCUGGUAUAACAACUUUAGAAAGUACAACAAUGGAAAUCUCAACCAUAGAAAGCACCACAACAGACACUACAACAACAGAAAGCACGACCACAGGUACCACAACACCAGAAAGGACAACAACAGAGACCACAACAACAGAAAGCACUACAACAGAAAGUACUACCACUGCUAUUACAACUUCAGAAAUUACUACGAUGGAAACCACGACUACAGAAAGCACGACAACAGACACUAAAACAACAGAAAGCACCACCAAAGGUACCA
Molecule: long non-coding RNA, 493 nt
Organism: Sinocyclocheilus grahami
Lineage: Eukaryota; Metazoa; Chordata; Actinopteri; Cypriniformes; Cyprinidae
Exons: 3
Source: RefSeq, a predicted model, not a curated record